This 207-nucleotide ribosomal RNA is filed under the name uncultured Bacillota bacterium. Its description in RNAcentral is "uncultured Firmicutes bacterium partial 16S ribosomal RNA". It matches the Rfam family "Bacterial small subunit ribosomal RNA", at positions 568 to 774 of the family's 1533-position model. Lineage: Bacteria; Bacillati; Bacillota. The record is from RNAcentral.
UGCGUAGACGGGAAAGCAAGUUAGUUGUGAAAUCCCUCGGCUUAACUGAGGAACUGCAACUAAAACUACUUUUCUUGAGUGCAGGAGAGGAAAGUGGAAUUCCUAGUGUAGCGGUGAAAUGCGUAGAUAUUAGGAGGAACACCAGUGGCGAAGGCGACUUUCUGGACUGUAACUGACGUUGAGGCACGAAAGUGUGGGGAGCAAACA